This is a non-coding RNA of Acanthosepion pharaonis, 114 nucleotides long. NCBI's taxonomy places the organism in Eukaryota, Metazoa, Mollusca, Cephalopoda, Sepiida, Sepiidae. The record is from the annotation of a GenBank genome assembly.
CUACGGCCAUGUCACGCUGAAACACUGGUUCUCAUAUGAUCACCAAAGUUAAGCAAUGUUGAACCUGGUCAGUAUCUAGGUGGGUGACUGCUUAGGAAUUCCAGGUGCUGUAAG